This 753-nucleotide ribosomal RNA is filed under the name Trentepohliaceae sp. Kukwa 19762. RNAcentral describes it as "SSU rRNA". It matches the Rfam family "Eukaryotic small subunit ribosomal RNA", at positions 283 to 1042 of the family's 1831-position model. The record is from RNAcentral. Lineage: Eukaryota; Viridiplantae; Chlorophyta; Ulvophyceae; Trentepohliales; Trentepohliaceae.
GGCGAUGUUUCAUUCAAAUUUUUCCUGCCCUUAUUCAACUUUCGACGGUAGGGUAGUGGCCUUACCGUGGUGGUAACGGGUGACGGAGGAUUAGGGUUCGAUUCCGGAGAGGGAGCCUGAGAAACGGCUACCACAUCCAAGGAAGGCAGCAGGCGCGCAAAUUACCCAAAUCCCAACUCGGGGAGGUAGUGACAAGAAAUAACGAUGCUCCGGCCACUGGUCGGGCAAUCGGAAUGAGAACAAUUUAAAUCCCUUAUCGAGGAUCAAUUGGAGGGCAAGUCUGGUGCCAGCAGCCGCGGUAAUUCCAGCUCCAAUAGCGUAUAUUUAAGUUGCUGCGGUUAAAAAGCUCGUAGUCGGAUUUUCGGGUGGCGCCUACCGGUCCGCCUUUGGUGAGUACUGGUAGGCGCCACCUUUCUGCCGAGGACGGGGUACUGGGCUUAGUUGUCUGGACCCCGGAGUCGGCGAUGUCACUUUGAGUAAAUUAGGGUGUUCAAAGCAGGCUUAUGCUCUGUAUACACUAGCAUGGGAUGACACGAUAGGACUUCGGUUUAUCUUGUCGGUCUGUAAAUCGGAGUAAUGAUUAAGAGGGACAGUCGGGGGCAUUCGUAUUUCGUAGUCAGAGGUGAAAUUCUUGGAUUUACGGAAGACGAACUUCUGCGAAAGCAUUUGCCAAGGAUGUUUUCAUUGAUCAAGAACGAAAGUCGGGGGCUCGAAGACGAUUAGAUACCGUCGUAGUCUCGACCAUAAACAUGC